Molecule: long non-coding RNA, 201 nt
Filed under: Elaeis guineensis (African oil palm)
Lineage: Eukaryota; Viridiplantae; Streptophyta; Magnoliopsida; Arecales; Arecaceae
Description: long non-coding RNA (EGUI_LNC025018)
Source: RNAcentral
AUCUAAUUUUUUUGAGAAAAUGGGACUACGAAAUAGUCGGAAUCCUGAAAUCCAUCUAUGUAGAGAAAGAAGAAGAAAAAGAGAAAGAAAAAAAAGAAAUAAGAGAUGAAGAAAACGAACAAAUGAAAAAAAUGAAGAAGAAAAAAAAAAUUGAAAGAAAAAAAAAUGAGAAGAAAAACAAAAGAAGGGAAGAAAGAAGAA